UUUCAAUAGCUGUUAAUAGUUGAUGGCUGUUUACCUUGUCUGUAUUAUCAACGUUCCACUGUACAGCGUGUGUUGGGCGCAGCUUUUUGGAUCGUAGAUAACUGCGUGCCGAGGCAAAGGUGUCUUUGUAACGGCUAACCCGUCAAACGCCGAUUAAUUGGAGGGAGUCACAUUGAAUGGAAAUACUCGAGCAUUUCGCCAUUCGCAUUGUCGUGAGGUAUCGGUAUCUUUGGAAUCUGGCAGUUGCAUGAACAUUUCUCCGGUUUCACCUCUCCCAUUUAACGUGAAGCAGACACCGGCGUACUCGUCUUGGACCGCUAAGUAACAGUACCUCAUUAUUAUCGAGCGGGACGGUGUGUCAUGGAAGAGUGGGGUGCAGUAAUUAAUCCAGACGGAGAGUAAAAAAACGACCGUUUUCAUAAACAUCUUGAUUUCCAUGAAUGCCCGUUUGCCAUUGUAGAUACGAAACACUUGACACAGCGAAGAUACGAAGUUUUUUGUCAAUAACUUAACACUAGAUCGGAAUUAUCAUCAUCAGAUAAAAAUACCAAAGUGCUCAAUUAUUAAAGUGCGAGUUCUCGAUUAAACCGGCAAUUCAAAGUCAAUUCGACAAUUAAAAAAUGUCGAUUAUAAUUGUCGUAGAUAAUUGACAACACCGAUCUCUCGCUCCGAUUACAUUUCAACUCCUUAAGUCUGAACCUGAUAUCUGAAUCGAUGCUCCUCCUAUGUGCAUUUAUGGGUCAUUGCUCACCUG
This 754-nucleotide long non-coding RNA is filed under the name Neodiprion lecontei (redheaded pine sawfly). RNAcentral's name for it is "uncharacterized LOC124295218". Lineage: Eukaryota; Metazoa; Arthropoda; Insecta; Hymenoptera; Diprionidae. The record is from RNAcentral.